AGUGAACGCUGGCGGUAGGCCUAACACAUGCAAGUCGAACGGCAGCACAGUAAUAUCUUGCUCUUACGGGUUGCGAGUGGCGUACGGUUGAGGUAUACAUCGGAAUCUACUUUUUCGUGUGGGUUAACGUAUGUAAACUUACGCUCAUACCGCAUACUACCUACGGUUUUAUUCAUUGGUUCUUCUGACCUUUCGCGUUUUUAUUUGCCGAUGUCGUAUUAUCUAGUUGUCGGGGUAAAGGCCCACCAAGGCGACGAUCCGUAGCUGGUCUGAGAGGAUGGUAAGCCACACUGGAACGGAGACACGGUCAAGAAGACUAAGGGAGGCAGAAGAGGGGAAGAUUGGACAAUGGGGGCAAGCAUGAUACAGCAAUACCGCGUGGGUGAAGAAGGCGUUCGGGUUGUAAAGACCUUUUGUUGGGAAAGAAAAGCAGAAGGUUAAUACACAGCUGGAGUGACGGUAACCAAAGAAUAAGCACCGGCUAACUACGUG
RNAcentral lists this ribosomal RNA (492 nucleotides) under uncultured bacterium. RNAcentral's name for it is "partial 16S ribosomal RNA". It matches the Rfam family "Bacterial small subunit ribosomal RNA", at positions 29 to 507 of the family's 1533-position model. The record is from RNAcentral.